This is a non-coding RNA of Thamnophis sirtalis, 428 nucleotides long. The record is from RefSeq and is a predicted model, not a curated record. Lineage: Eukaryota; Metazoa; Chordata; Lepidosauria; Squamata; Natricidae.
CCUCCCUUCCCGUGUCUUCGAGCCGCCAGAGGGCUGGGUGCCUUUCCAUCAGCAGUGGCGCCAGCGCUGCGGGGCCCGAGCUCGGGUCUUUUUCAACCAAUCCGGACUAGCUUCAUCCAAAUUUUUCUCUCUCUCCUCCCUUCCUUGUUUCUUUUACUAUUUUUCUCCCAUUCUCUUAUUUGGAAUAUUCCUGCAUUUUUAAGAUCUCAAGAUGGUGCAGAAGAAAACUGAACUUAAAGGCUUCCAUCGUUCUUAUAAGGGCCAGAAUCCUUUCGACCUGGAAUUCUCUCAGUCCACUCACCUGGAAUCUGUCUUCAAUUUUGAAUGUUCCUCUCGGCCCGGUGAGCUCCCAUUUUUGCCUUUUUGAGAAAGCAGUGGGGAGGGACAGGGUGAAGCAGGAGUGAAUGGGCAGUUAAUUUUCCCAGGGG